UCGAACGAGAAAGUGGAGCAAUCCAUGAGUACAGUGGCGACCGGGUGAGUAACACGUGACCAACCUGCCCUCGAGUGGGGAAUAACUCCGGGAAACCGGGGCUAAUACCGCAUAACAUCCUCGGAUCGGAAGAACUGGGGAUCAAAGGAGCAAUUCGCUUGAGGAGGGGGUCGCGGCUGAUUAGCUAGUUGGCGGGGUAACGGCCCACCAAGGCAAAGAUCGGUAUCCGGCCUGAGAGGGCGCACGGACACACUGGAACUGAAACACGGUCCAGACUCCUACGGGAGGCAGCAGUGGGGAAUUUUGCGCAAUGGGGGAAACCCUGACGCAGCAACGCCGCGUGGAGGAUGAAGUCGCCUUGGGACGUAAACUCCUUUCGACCGGGACGAUAAUGACGGUACCGGUGGAAGAAGCACCGGCUAACUCUGUG
This 430-nucleotide ribosomal RNA is filed under the name uncultured bacterium. RNAcentral's name for it is "bacterial SSU rRNA". It matches the Rfam family "Bacterial small subunit ribosomal RNA", at positions 62 to 507 of the family's 1533-position model. The record is from RNAcentral.